Non-coding RNA from Salvia hispanica, 210 nucleotides. Lineage: Eukaryota; Viridiplantae; Streptophyta; Magnoliopsida; Lamiales; Lamiaceae. The record is from RefSeq and is a predicted model, not a curated record.
UGCUCCAGGAUAGCUGGAUUUCUGAGGAAUCUUUCAUGUUUCUGGCUACUCCUAGUCCUACUUAUGACAAGGAAUCUGAAGCCUGGACCAAUCAAUCGCCUACAUCAGCAAGAUUGGCGGCAUAUGCAACCAGCUGUGCAAUAUGAAGAAUCGAGAAGCACCAUUGAAAACACUUUCCAUUUAUAGCUAAUUGUAUUGACAUAGGUUAGA